CUGAGUUAUCUAACUCCCAAACCAUUGUGAACUUACCACUGUUGCCUCGGCGGUAGACUCCUGUAACAGGGACGACACCGCCGGUGGACCACUAAACUCUGUUAAAUUUUUGUAUUCUGAAUCAAUAACUUAAUAAGUUA
Molecule: unclassified non-coding RNA, 140 nt
Filed under: uncultured Xylariales
Lineage: Eukaryota; Fungi; Ascomycota; Sordariomycetes; Xylariales
Description: sequence contains ITS1
Source: RNAcentral